UGCAAUGUAUUUUAUUUAAAAUAUUUACUUUACACGUAAAAGAACCUGGGUAGAGGCUUUGUUA
This 64-nucleotide transfer RNA is filed under the name Duthiersia expansa. Its description in RNAcentral is "tRNA-Val". Lineage: Eukaryota; Metazoa; Platyhelminthes; Cestoda; Diphyllobothriidea; Diphyllobothriidae. The record is from RNAcentral.